GACGAACGCUGGCGGCGUGCUUAACACAUGCAAGUCGAACGGAAAGGCCCUGCUUUUGUGGGGUGCUCGAGUGGCGAACGGGUGAGUAACACGUGAGUAACCUGCCCUUGACUUUGGGAUAACUUCAGGAAACUGGGGCUAAUACCGGAUCGGAGCUCCUGCUGCAUGGUGGGGGUUGGAAAGUCUCGGCGGUUGGGGAUGGACUCGCGGCUUAUGAGCUUGUUGGUGGGGUAGUGGCUUACCAAGGCUUUGACGGGUAGCCGGCCUGAGAGGGUGACCGGCCACAUUGGGACUGAGAGAGGGACCAGUCUCCAACGGGAGGCAGCAGUGGGAAAUAUUGCACAAUGGGCGGAAGCCUGAUGCAGAGACGCCGCGUGCGGGAUGACGGCCUUCGGGUUGUAAACCGCUUUCGCCUGUGACGAAGCGUGAGUGACGGUAAUGGGUAAAGAAGCACCGGCUAACUACGUG
RNAcentral lists this ribosomal RNA (468 nucleotides) under uncultured bacterium. Its description in RNAcentral is "partial 16S ribosomal RNA". It matches the Rfam family "Bacterial small subunit ribosomal RNA", at positions 28 to 507 of the family's 1533-position model. The record is from RNAcentral.